AUCAGCCUUAAUAACGAGAUUGGCUCUUGGAUGAACGAAGGCCGUAGAUCUAGAUUAGGGAUCUUAAAAAUCAAGGGUAGAAAUGUAGCCACCCUUCUACAAGCCUCCACUCAAUUGUAUAAGAGAGGCUUGGUUUUCCAAGCCCUCUCUCUCUCCUCUUUUUAGUGAAGGGCGGAGCCAUGCCAAAAUUUGGCCGAAAUCCUAAUCUUAAUUUUAUUUAGAUUUUAAUUCUCAUUGUGAACCUUGUGAUUGUAUAUGUAUGGAUUUUUAAUUGUGAAGGAUGGUCAUUAAGUUUUAAAAUAUGUUUCAUUGAAGUAGAUAUCUCCUCGGCCUUUCAAAUAUCCCAAGGGUUUUA
Molecule: long non-coding RNA, 355 nt
Filed under: Physcomitrium patens
Lineage: Eukaryota; Viridiplantae; Streptophyta; Bryopsida; Funariales; Funariaceae
Description: long non-coding RNA (PPAT_LNC001774)
Source: RNAcentral